RNAcentral lists this long non-coding RNA (1742 nucleotides) under Portunus trituberculatus (swimming crab). RNAcentral describes it as "uncharacterized LOC123518591". The stretch from base 149 to 220 matches the Rfam family "mir-133 microRNA precursor family". Lineage: Eukaryota; Metazoa; Arthropoda; Malacostraca; Decapoda; Portunidae. The record is from RNAcentral.
CCCUUCAGUGUGCCUAAUGGCGGCGAGGCGGCGGGAGAUUAAGGAAGAAGAUAGAAAAAAUAUAUGUGUGUGGUGAUGAUGUCAUGGCAAUCUCCAGCGUGACUCGACUUGACUUCACCGCCUGCUGCAGUGGUGGUGAAAAAAUGCCCGGCUGGAGCUGGCUGAAACCGGGCCAAAUUGUUUACUGUAGCAUUUGGUCCCCUUCAACCAGCUGUAGUCUGCAUUGUGCGCUGCUCCGGCCCUCCCUGUCCCCCUGCCUCGCCCGCUCUGCCCCAUCCACACACCCAGGAGCAAUCAAGCCGCCGCAAAACUACUCCAGAGGUCAAAUGGUGUGACCUCGCCUCCUUGCUUCACGCCCUACCUGAAGGUCACAGCGCCAUCACAUCGACAGAGCGUGAAGUUUUUAAGAAUGAGUCACAGCGCUGCAAGACACGCCCCAUUCAAGCUCAAAGCCAUUAAAGGGUCACACCACCUUCAUCUACAACCUGCCAAGCCACCACGAAUGUAAAAAUAAGCCACUCAACGUCGUUCUCAUUAAGCCAGAAAGGACCAAGCCACGUCAUUAAUCCACACAAGCCAUAUAAAGACUUCACACACGUUUCUACUUGCCAAGCCACCGUAUCUACCAAGUAAUCAAGCCACAAGACCGUUACUACACAAGCCUAAGCCACCACGUACAUAACACAAGACUGAGUUACGAAAAUAUCUAGACUCAGGCAAACCAAGCCACGUAACAAAGCCACCAUCUCAAUCCAGUACAAAGCCACCAGCACGUUCCGGCAGCAGACCAAUCGUGAAGAAGAUGCACCCUCUUGAAAACCCAGUCAAGAGGAGAGUAAGAGGUCCCAGCACGCCGCGUCGCCUCCCGAACACUCUCAAAAGGAUCGACGCUGCGCAAGAUAAUAAUGUUCACAAUGCGGAAGGAAGAAAGAAAAGCUAAUAAAAGAAAGAAAGUUACGUGGGCGAGAGAAUACAACGUCAAGGGAGGUACACACACACACACACACACACACACACACACACACACACACACACACACACACACACACACACACACACACACUGAGCAAGUUCUGUCUAAAUAAUUAAUGAAAGCAAUUUGCCACUUUAAAUAAUGUCAGUUUGUAAAGAUUUUUUUUAUGUAUAUUUUUUGUAAGAUUAAACAGAUUGUUUUCCUAAAUAACAUGCUCUUUCUUUUUUUUUUUUAUUUCACUCGUACCCUGUUACAUUUUGAUAACUAAGGUUGUAUAAAAAAAUAAAUAUAAGUAUUACUACUUCAUUUCUUUUUGUAAUUAGUCACACUGUGUACUAUUAUAAAUAAAGCAAAGCUGUAUUAUAUAAAAAAGAUAACUGAUGUGGGGCCAUAAAGUUUACGAUAUUAAAAGGGAUAUUUUUUUGUCGCAUUCUUUAUUUUACGAAAUAAAAACUAGCACUUUAAAUUUACUGCCACGAUUGGAUGUACAACUUUAUCUUUAUUAAUCUGAGGACUUUAAAUACCAGCCAUGCAUUGCUAUUCAUGUGAACGGUGGUCAUGUUAUUCAUCUACAAUCUCAAAUUCUGAUCUUAAUUCCAUGUACAACUUUUUAAAACACUGAUCUAAUACCUCUCUUUUAAUCACCUCUAUUACUAUUCAAAGUAGAAAAGGUAAUCAAUAUCUCCUUUAAACUCCUUACCCUGUCCUGGAGACCUUGCCUCAAUAAAUCAAUACUUCUGUACCACUAAAUAAACGAAUCGCAACUUUA